AUUGGCUUUAGUCCAAGUAAAAGUUGUUGAAAAAUAUAUCUUAAAGUCAAUCAUCUAGAUUGUAAAUGAUUGUGCUCUAUACAUGUAUAUGAAUUAUAAAAUGAUAAAUAUUAUCUAACAGAUUCAUCAUAACGAAUAUAUCUUCCUAAAUAGAACUCAUAUGUUAUGAUGAAGUCCUUAAAGCUACUUCCAAAAUGAUAAAAGAGGAUU
RNAcentral lists this long non-coding RNA (210 nucleotides) under Elaeis guineensis (African oil palm). RNAcentral describes it as "long non-coding RNA (EGUI_LNC051601)". The record is from RNAcentral. Lineage: Eukaryota; Viridiplantae; Streptophyta; Magnoliopsida; Arecales; Arecaceae.